GCUCACCCCUUUCCCCUUCUCACAAACCCUACGCUUCUACCCUUCUUUUGAUUCUUCUCCUGGUGGUAUCUCUCCUGAGCUUUUCUUCCUUUUCUUAUUUUCUUUUUCAUUUUCUGUCCACGAAAAUUGUUCAAAUUUUUCUUGACCUUGCAAGUCCAGCCUCUCCUCCCCUAGGCUCCAGUUUGCUUCUUGGGCUCUUCUAAUCAUUUUAGUGCAAGAGUUUAGGACUUCGUUCGUGGAUGUUUUGUUUCCCUCUCUAUUCCUCCUGAGCUUGUACUCAUGUUUUUGUGUUGUAUUGUUUUCUUCUUAG
Molecule: small RNA, 310 nt
Filed under: Cucumis melo (muskmelon)
Lineage: Eukaryota; Viridiplantae; Streptophyta; Magnoliopsida; Cucurbitales; Cucurbitaceae
Description: TAS3 precursor
Source: RNAcentral